This 1714-nucleotide long non-coding RNA is filed under the name Homo sapiens (human). RNAcentral's name for it is "HSALNT0315898". The record is from RNAcentral. Lineage: Eukaryota; Metazoa; Chordata; Mammalia; Primates; Hominidae.
ACAGUUGUUUCUGUGCUCCCUCUUAGUGCUCUGAAAUCUUGGGCUCCUCUCCCUCUUGAUUGCUGGCUGAAAAUCUUGGCUUGGCACUCCCAAGCUGCACACCACAGCUCUGGGACAAUCUCAAGCUUUAUAUCCCUUCCCAUCUUGGAGGAAUCAGAGGAAGGAAAGUUAGCAGUGGUUGUGACAGAGGGUUUUUCACUUGUCUCUUGGAGCUCCACCUCAGAAAGACGCAGAGCUGCUAUCAAUCAGUAUGAUUGGCCUAGGAUGGGGCAGCUGUGCUGUGAGACCAACCCAUGGCAGACAUCCAGCUGAUCACACUGUGUCCACAUAAGGCAAAUGCUGAGCUGUAAUCCAUCAAGCUGUUUCCGCAUAGAGAAAAGGCCAUAUGAGUACACAGCCAGAAGGUGUCUGCCUACAAGACAAAGAGGGAAAACUUACCUGAAACCAACCCUGAUGGAUAUUGGAUUUCUAAGCUCCAGAACUGUGAGAAAAUUAAUUUUAUGUGCUUUAAGACACUCAAUUUGUGGUAUUCUGUUAUGGCAGCCUAUGCUAGUCAAUUUGCAUUACCAUAAAGCAACACCUGAGAGUGGGUAAAUUAUAAAGAAAAGAAGUUGAAUCGGCUCAUGGUUCUGCAGGCAGUACAGAAGCAUAGUGCUGGCAAUUGCCCCUGGCAAGGGGCUCAGGAAGCUUACAAACAUGGCAGAAGGCAAAGGGAAGCCAACAUAUCACACGUAAGCUCAGGAAGCUUACAAACAUGGCAGAAGGCAAAGGGAAGCCAACAUAUCACGUGGCGAGAAAGACAGAGAAGCGGUAGGUCCCAGACUCUUUUAAACAACAAGACCUCAUGUGAACUGAGGGGAAACUCACUUUCACCAAGGAGAUGGUGCUAAACCACUAAUGAGGGAUCUGUCCCAUGAGCCAAUCACCUCCCACCAAGACCUACCUCCAAUUUUGGAAAUUAUAUUUCAACAUGAGAUUUGGAGGGGACAAACAUCCAAACCAUAUCCCAGCCUGAGCAGACUAACAGAGUCUCUGAAUAAAUCUAUGAAAAUGACUAGAGUAUUAUUUUGUUGAGUGAUUUCUUCUUGUAUUAGGAUUGGUCUCCUUGAAAAUAUUUUUCUCAUAUCUGUUAUAAUAAAAUACUGAGAAUCAUACUAAUUCUACUCUAAACUUAGAUAUUUAAGAGGGUUGGAUUUGACUGAUUGCUCUGAUGUUGCUAACAUAGUCAAAGACUUUUCAAAACUAAAGUGUAAUAUUAUGUCAUGCAACCUUGAGAAAAUUACAAUGGACAAAGCAGAACUAUAAUUCACAAUUCAUCUCCCAAACAAAUUGUGACACCCCUUCUUUCCAAUCCACUGAAAUAUGCCUAAAAUGAGAAAAAAGGGAAAUCUUAAAAACAACAACAACAACAACAAAGAAAAAACAGAAAACGGCAACAUUCAGGCAAAAAAGAAUGUGAGGACUAUGAUGCUGGCAUGCUAAACUUAAUUAAUAAUAAAUGAGAGAGUUUGGAAUGAUUAUAUGUGAAUGAGUUUCAAUCCUGAUAUCUUUUCCCUUCAUUUUUUCACCUCAAAGACCUAGUCCAUCAGCAUCUUUUAUUACUAUCAUCAGCCUUCCAGAGCCUCUGCCAAGAUGUCUGCUGCCUGGAGCCCAUGGGUAUAUGUCCCAAUUAGUCAUAGCCCAGGGUCAAAUGUGUCAUUCCAGAGAGCCAACA